Molecule: ribosomal RNA, 372 nt
Filed under: uncultured Bacteroidota bacterium
Lineage: Bacteria; Pseudomonadati; Bacteroidota
Description: bacterial SSU rRNA
Rfam family: Bacterial small subunit ribosomal RNA
Source: RNAcentral
UACGGAGGAUGCAAGCGUUAUCCGGAUUCAUUGGGUUUAAAGGGUGCGCAGGCGGAUUAAUAAGUCAGUGGUGAAAUCCUACGGCUCAACUGUAGAACUGCCAUUGAUACUGUUAGUCUUGAGUAUUGUUGAGGUAGGCGGAAUGUGUCAUGUAGCGGUGAAAUGCUUAGAUAUGACACAGAACACCGAUCGCGAAGGCAGCUUACCAAGCAAUAACUGACGCUCAUGCACGAAAGCGUGGGGAUCAAACAGGAUUAGAUACCCUGGUAGUCCACGCUGUAAACGAUGAACACUCGAUGUUGGCGAUACACAGUCAGCGUCUGAGCGAAAGUAUUAAGUGUUCCACCUGGGGAGUACGGUCGCAAGAUUGAA